RNAcentral lists this unclassified non-coding RNA (253 nucleotides) under uncultured Phycisphaeraceae bacterium. RNAcentral describes it as "contains 16S-23S intergenic spacer region". It matches the Rfam family "Bacterial small subunit ribosomal RNA", at positions 524 to 776 of the family's 1533-position model. Lineage: Bacteria; Pseudomonadati; Planctomycetota; Phycisphaerae; Phycisphaerales; Phycisphaeraceae. The record is from RNAcentral.
CACGAAGGGCCCAAGCGUUAAUCGGAAUCACUGGGCUUAAAGGGUGCGCAGGCGGACACGCAAGUACCUUGUGAAAUCCCAGAGCUCAACUCUGGAAUUGCUCGGUAAACUGCGCGUCUUGAGCGCGGCAGAGGCUGUCAGAACGCUAGGUGGAGCGGUGAAAUGCGUAGAGAUCUAGCGGAAUGCCAAAGGUGAAGACAGACAGCUGGGCCGUCGCUGACGCUCAGGCACGAAAGCGUGGGUAGCGAACGGG